RNAcentral lists this transfer RNA (71 nucleotides) under Caudoviricetes sp. Its description in RNAcentral is "tRNA-Trp". It matches the Rfam family "tRNA". From Rfam's summary of the family: Transfer RNA (tRNA) molecules are approximately 80 nucleotides in length. Their secondary structure includes four short double-helical elements and three loops (D, anti-codon, and T loops). Lineage: Duplodnaviria; Heunggongvirae; Uroviricota; Caudoviricetes. The record is from RNAcentral.
AGGGAAGUAGUUCAAUGGUAGAACAGUGGUCUCCAAAACCACGGACGUGGGUUCGAUUCCUACCUUCCCUG